This 25-nucleotide non-coding RNA is filed under the name Mus musculus (house mouse). Lineage: Eukaryota; Metazoa; Chordata; Mammalia; Rodentia; Muridae. The record is from RNAcentral.
UUAUUCCUGUGAGAUUGUAGAUUAG